UACGGGGGGAGCAAGCGUUGUCCGGAAUUACUGGGCGUAAAGGGCGUGUAGGUGGACUGAUUAGUCAGGUGUGAAAGCCCGCGGCUUAACCGCGGAACUGCAUUUGAUACUGUCGGUCUUGAGUGCGAGAGAGGGUAGUGGAAUUCCCAGUGUAGCGGUGAAAUGCGUAGAGAUCUGGAGGAACAUCAAUGGCGAAGGCAACUCCCUGGCCAAAGACUGACGCUCAUGUGCGAAAGUGUGGGUAGCGAACAGG
This 253-nucleotide ribosomal RNA is filed under the name uncultured bacterium. RNAcentral describes it as "partial 16S ribosomal RNA". It matches the Rfam family "Bacterial small subunit ribosomal RNA", at positions 524 to 776 of the family's 1533-position model. The record is from RNAcentral.